This 140-nucleotide ribosomal RNA is filed under the name uncultured bacterium. RNAcentral describes it as "partial 16S ribosomal RNA". It matches the Rfam family "Bacterial small subunit ribosomal RNA", at positions 355 to 511 of the family's 1533-position model. The record is from RNAcentral.
UGGGGAAUAUUGGACAAUGGGCGAAAGCCUGAUCCAGCAAUGCCGCGUGUGUGAAGAAGGUCUUCGGAUUGUAAAGCACUUUCGACGGGGACGAUGAUGACGGUACCCGUAGAAGAAGCCCCCGGCUAACUACGUGCCAG